This 950-nucleotide long non-coding RNA is filed under the name Panax ginseng (ginseng). RNAcentral's name for it is "long non-coding RNA (PGIN_LNC012548)". Lineage: Eukaryota; Viridiplantae; Streptophyta; Magnoliopsida; Apiales; Araliaceae. The record is from RNAcentral.
GAUAAUGGGAAAAUUUUUAUGCGCUUCGGCGGACAAAGGGUGAGCGAUGAAUUUCGUUCAAGUUAUGUAGUAUUGACCAAUACAGGGUACAAACGGGGCUGAUCACCCUCCGUGCCCGAAAGUUAUGACGGUUUGCGGAUGAAUUUCUGCUAAACCUUUUCGAAAAUAAAAAACCAUGUUCAUAGUAUGUUUCUUAAACCCUAUUCAUGGGUGGAGCCUAAUUUCAAGAAAUUGAAAGAGAAUUGUUAUGUGAAUUUUUAUCAGUACAGAUUACUUCACAACUUUCGAUUCGUUGUAGAAGUGUUGUAGAAAGAGAAUACUUAUAUUCUUUCAGCUUAUAUAUAUAAUUGAUAUUACUUGCUGGGCACUCAAAUGCUCAUCCUUGCUUAAACUAAAUGUUUUCAGUUACGUACGAUCGACCUGAAGGCUCAGGCACGAACAAGGGAAAAGAAAAGCUGUUCGAAUGAGAUUUAGUAUGAGUUAAUGGUUAUAGUUAGUAAGACAAUGGAAUCUAUUGUCAGGUAUUGUAAGGAAUGUAUUUGAAGGUCACGUACCUGGGGAAGUAAACUUUGAUGUAUGUAAAUUAAGUUCGAAUUAUAUUAUUAUUAUUAUUUAGUAUUAUUCAGCUUAAAGAAAUGGUAUCGUGGAGAACCGAGUUCGGGUUUCAAGUAUCCGGAUUUGGGGUCGCCACAGGAAUAAGCAAUCCAUUAGAAGAGUCAAGUAGAGAAUAAAAUCUACUAUCUUCUAUGAUUUAAAAGGGUUUUCAACACUUUUAUCGCUAAGACUCAGCUUAAUAAAUAAUCCACAUCAUCCCUGCACUACGGCCAAGGAUAUUCAUUAUUAUCACGACCAUAAAUUAUCCAUGCACUACGGGCCAAGGAUAUUCAUGUAUUCAUCAAUGGUCAUGAUCAUGCCAACAACUGUCCAUCAAUGCACUACGGGCCAAUGAG